Molecule: ribosomal RNA, 502 nt
Filed under: uncultured bacterium
Lineage: Bacteria
Description: partial 16S ribosomal RNA
Rfam family: Bacterial small subunit ribosomal RNA
Source: RNAcentral
GACGAACGCUGGCGGCAUGCUUAACACAUGCAAGUGGUGCGACGAACCUUUUAGGGGCAAAGCCGCGAACGGGUGAGUAACACGUGGGCAAUCUGCCCAGUAGACCGGAAUAACUCAAGGAAACCUGAGCUAAUACCGGAUGUGCCGUACUUCCAUAAGGAGGUCCGGUAAAGAGAGCUUCGGCUAUUCGCUAUUGGAGGAGCCUGCGGGGCAUUAGGUAGUUGGUGGGGUAAAGGCCUACCAAGCCGACGAUGCCUAGCUGGUCUGAGAGGACGAUCAGCCACACUGGAACUAAGACACGGUCCAGACUCCUACGGGAGGCAGCAGUGGGAAUCUUGCACAAUGGGCGACAGCCUGAUGCAGCAAUGCCGCGUGAGGGAAGACGGCCUUCGGGUUGUAAACCUCUUUCAGUUGGGAUGAAGGUUGGACGGUGAAUAGCCGCGCCAACUGACCGUACCUUCAGAAGAAGCUCCGGCUAACUACGUGCCAGCCGCCGCCGUAA